UGCAAACUGCGAAUACCGGAGAAUGUUAUCACGGGAGACACACGGCGGGUGCUAACGUCCGUCGUGAAGAGGGAAACAACCCAGACCGCCAGCUAAGGUCCCAAAGUCAUGGUUAAGUGGGAAACGAUGUGGGAAGGCCCAGACAGCCAGGAUGUUGGCUUAGAAGCAGCCAUCAUUUAAAGAAAGCGUAAUAGCUCACUGGUCGAGUCGGCCUGCGCGGAAGAUGUAACGGGGCUAAACCAUGCACCGAAGCUGCGGCAGCGACACUAUGUGUUGUUGGGUAGGGGAGCGUUCUGUAAGCCUGUGAAGGUGGCCUGUGAGGGUUGCUGGAGGUAUCAGAAGUGCGAAUGCUGACAUAAGUAACGAUAAAGCGGGUGAAAAGCCCGCUCGCCGGAAGACCAAGGGUUCCUGUCCAACGUUAAUCGGGGCAGGGUGAGUCGACCCCUAAGGCGAGGCCGAAAGGCGUAGUCGAUGGGAAACAGGUUAAUAUUCCUGUACUUGGUGUUACUGCGAAGGGGGGACGGAGAAGGCUAUGUUGGCCGGGCGACGGUUGUCCCGGUUUAAGCGUGUAGGCUGGUUUUCCAGGCAAAUCCGGAAAAUCAAGGCUGAGGCGUGAUGACGAGGCACUACGGUGCUGAAGCGACAAAUGCCCUGCUUCCAGGAAAAGCCUCUAAGCAUCAGGUAACAUCAAAUCGUACCCCAAACCGACACAGGUGGUCAGGUAGAGAAUACCAAGGCGCUUGAGAGAACUCGGGUGAAGGAACUAGGCAAAAUGGUGCCGUAACUUCGGGAGAAGGCACGCUGAUAUGUAGGUGAAGCGACUUGCUCGUGGAGCUGAAAUCAGUCGAAGAUACCAGCUGGCUGCAACUGUUUAUUAAAAACACAGCACUGUGCAAACACGAAAGUGGACGUAUACGGUGUGACGCCUGCCCGGUGCCGGAAGGUUAAUUGAUGGGGUUAGCGGUAACGCGAAGCUCUUGAUCGAAGCCCCGGUAAACGGCGGCCGUAACUAUAACGGUCCUAAGGUAGCGAAAUUCCUUGUCGGGUAAGUUCCGACCUGCACGAAUGGCGUAAUGAUGGCCAGGCUGUCUCCACCCGAGACUCAGUGAAAUUGAACUCGCUGUGAAGAUGCAGUGUACCCGCGGCAAGACGGAAAGACCCCGUGAACCUUUACUAUAGCUUGACACUGAACAUUGAGCCUUGAUGUGUAGGAUAGGUGGGAGGCUUUGAAGUGUGGACGCCAGUCUGCAUGGAGCCGACCUUGAAAUACCACCCUUUAAUGUUUGAUGUUCUAACGUGGGCCCCUUACCGGGGUUGCGGACAGUGUCUGGUG
RNAcentral lists this ribosomal RNA (1333 nucleotides) under Escherichia coli O25b:H4-ST131. Its description in RNAcentral is "partial 23S ribosomal RNA". It matches the Rfam family "Bacterial large subunit ribosomal RNA", at positions 948 to 2263 of the family's 2925-position model. Lineage: Bacteria; Pseudomonadati; Pseudomonadota; Gammaproteobacteria; Enterobacterales; Enterobacteriaceae. The record is from RNAcentral.